This 70-nucleotide ribosomal RNA is filed under the name Bacillus stratosphericus. RNAcentral's name for it is "partial 23S ribosomal RNA". The record is from RNAcentral. Lineage: Bacteria; Bacillati; Bacillota; Bacilli; Caryophanales; Bacillaceae.
AUAGAGUCAAGUGAAUAAGUGCAUCAGGUGGAUGCCUUGGCGAUGAUAGGCGAAGAAGGACGUGUAAGCC